RNAcentral lists this transfer RNA (85 nucleotides) under Nitrososphaerota archaeon. Its description in RNAcentral is "Thaumarchaeota archaeon (marine metagenome) tRNA-Ala". It matches the Rfam family "tRNA". Rfam says of the family: Transfer RNA (tRNA) molecules are approximately 80 nucleotides in length. Their secondary structure includes four short double-helical elements and three loops (D, anti-codon, and T loops). The record is from RNAcentral. Lineage: Archaea; Thermoproteati; Nitrososphaerota.
GGGCCGGUAGUUCAGCGGUAGAAUCGAAAGAUAUACUAUCCGCUUCGCAUGCGGAAGGUCGGGAGUUCAAUUCUCCUCCGGUCCA